RNAcentral lists this ribosomal RNA (253 nucleotides) under uncultured bacterium. Its description in RNAcentral is "partial 16S ribosomal RNA". It matches the Rfam family "Archaeal small subunit ribosomal RNA", at positions 474 to 727 of the family's 1478-position model. The record is from RNAcentral.
UACCGGCACCCCGAGUGGUCGGGACGAUUAUUGGGCCUAAAGCAUCCGUAGCCGGUUUUACAAGUCCCCCGUUAAAUCCAGCUGCUUAACAGAUGGGCUGCGGAGGAUACUAUAAGACUAGGAGGCAGGUGAGGCAAGCGGUACUCAGUGGGUAGGGGUAAAAUCCGUUGAUCCAUUGAAGACCACCAGUGGCGAAGGCGGCUUGCCAGAAUGCGCUCGACGGUGAGGGAUGAAAGCUGGGGGAGCAAACCGG